Molecule: unclassified non-coding RNA, 374 nt
Filed under: Hevea brasiliensis (rubber tree)
Lineage: Eukaryota; Viridiplantae; Streptophyta; Magnoliopsida; Malpighiales; Euphorbiaceae
Source: RNAcentral
CAACAUGAUAAUUAACUAGAAUAAUUGAAAAAAAAUAAAACAAUAAUAAUAGCAAUAGGGGGAUAUUUUAAGAUAUUAAAGAAAAUAAGUAAAAUGAUGUGAUGUGGGCCAUGUUUGUACAUGAAUGGCUAGUAUUUCAUGGUGGAGAUGAGAUAAUGGAUGGCAUCAUCCACAGGCUUCAUAUCCAUGGGCAGCCAUGGACUUGCUUGGGGUCAACCAUCAAACAUUUGCUUCGUCUUCAACAUCCCAUCAAAUAUUAAUUUAUAUUUUUUGGUCAUGGAAUAAGGUUUCAAUUGAGUUUCAUGAAAAUAUAAUGCCUUUUGAACUUAGUUUUAAUGGAGGACGGAAGUGAAUUAGUACCCCAUCUUCCUAAU